Molecule: ribosomal RNA, 118 nt
Filed under: Pteropus alecto (black flying fox)
Lineage: Eukaryota; Metazoa; Chordata; Mammalia; Chiroptera; Pteropodidae
Also listed under: 1 other name
Source: RNAcentral
GCUUUCGGCCACGCCGCCCCGAACACGCCCGAUCUCGUCUAUCUCGGAAGCUAAGCAGGGUGGGGCCUGGUUAGUACUUGGAUGGGAGACCGCCUAGGAAGACCAGGUGCUGUAGGCG